CUUGUAAAAUCUCCAUUCCAGGCUGCGUUUACAUCUAGGUUAGGCCAACUGUCGGCUCGUUAUCUAAGUAAGAUGUAGACUUGAUUUCAGGAAAGGGACUAACUUCGCUAUAGACUUUAACUACUUAGGGCUUUCUUAGGCCAUGACAUGGCAAGUACAACUUGGUGCAAGCACAUUUAUGAGAUAGUACUGCAAGAAUGUGUAUGUUUGUUCUUGACUUUAAAAGAGAUACCGGUAGUCAUUCUGUAAAUCAAUGAUUACUAGUAACUGAGUGGGGAGGGGGUGCCUAGUCACUGCCUACAUGAAAGGCGCCUUAAGUUUUUUUUUUAAAGUUAGAAUAUUUUUGACACUAUAUCUAAGACCAAUUAUCAAUGGAGUAGAUCUUUGAUAUUUUAAUGAGGUCUAAACCUUUUUAUUUUUGUUUCAGGAUGAUGUUUUUCUUCAGUAAAAUAAAUGAAGGCAAAUUCCCUGAUAACUGAGACAAAUUCAGAGAGAGGAAGGAGAACUACUGAGCUGCUGAAUUUCUGACAGACAUACUUGCAAGGACUAUGAAGUUCUACUUAGCCUCUUCAAUGAACCAGACUCCAUCUGCUGUAACUGUGACUGCAUGGGGAUCAAACCUGUGUAUUAUAAUCCUCAUAACAUGAAGCUAUGGUAACAAACAAGCAACCAUUGAUAAAAAGCCUGAUAUGUCCUUGUUGUGUGUGUGAACCACAAAGCAACCAUCACUCAUAAGGAUGUUUUUAUGUACAUCAGAUGUUCAUUGUUUCACUGGAAAAAUUGUGAUUUUGAAUCAUUUAAGAAAUCAUGUUUUAUAACGAGUUUUAUAAUAUAGUGCAAGUCAUGAUAUAACAGAUUCCCUGCAAAAGAAA
This 872-nucleotide long non-coding RNA is filed under the name Strongylocentrotus purpuratus (purple sea urchin). RNAcentral describes it as "uncharacterized LOC115922306, transcript variant X2". Lineage: Eukaryota; Metazoa; Echinodermata; Echinoidea; Camarodonta; Strongylocentrotidae. The record is from RNAcentral.